This 422-nucleotide ribosomal RNA is filed under the name uncultured bacterium. RNAcentral describes it as "bacterial SSU rRNA". It matches the Rfam family "Bacterial small subunit ribosomal RNA", at positions 355 to 774 of the family's 1533-position model. The record is from RNAcentral.
UAAGGAAUAUUGGACAAUGGAGGCAACUCUGAUCCAGCCAUGCCGCGUGAAGGAAUAAGGCCCUAUGGGUUGUAAACUUCUUUUAGACGGGACAAAACCCCUUUACGUGUAAAGGGUUGAUGGUACUGUCAGAAUAAGCAUCGGCUAACUUCGUGCCAGCAGCCGCGGUAAUACGAAGGAUGCAAGCGUUAUCCGGAAUUAUUGGGUUUAAAGGGUGCGUAGGUGGACUAAUAAGUCAGUGGUGAAAGCCUGCAGCUUAACUGCAGAAUUACCAUUGAUACUGUUAGUCUUGAGUACAGUUGAGGUAGGCGGAAUGUGUCGUGUAGCGGUGAAAUGCUUAGAUAUGACACAGAACACCGAUUGCGAAGGCAGCUUGCUAAGCUGUAACUGACGCUGAGGCACGAAAGCGUGGGGAGCAAACA